GGCUCUAGAAAUGUGCCCAUACAUUUCUAGAGGCAUUUGGGAUGGUCGGGCCGCCAUCU
RNAcentral lists this non-coding RNA (59 nucleotides) under Candidatus Omnitrophota bacterium. RNAcentral's name for it is "Omnitrophica WOR Li+-I sequence". It matches the Rfam family "nhaA-I RNA". Rfam says of the family: Acidobacteria, Alphaproteobacteria, Betaproteobacteria and Gammaproteobacteria, Verrucomicrobia, cand. division NC10. Downstream gene Lineage: Bacteria; Pseudomonadati; Candidatus Omnitrophota. The record is from RNAcentral.